RNAcentral lists this non-coding RNA (27 nucleotides) under Bombyx mori (domestic silkworm). Lineage: Eukaryota; Metazoa; Arthropoda; Insecta; Lepidoptera; Bombycidae. The record is from RNAcentral.
GCACGGUCACGGACUGAUUUUAUAUGC